RNAcentral lists this ribosomal RNA (639 nucleotides) under uncultured Actinomycetes bacterium. RNAcentral's name for it is "bacterial SSU rRNA". It matches the Rfam family "Bacterial small subunit ribosomal RNA", at positions 232 to 885 of the family's 1533-position model. The record is from RNAcentral. Lineage: Bacteria; Bacillati; Actinomycetota; Actinomycetes.
CGCGGCCUAUCAGCUUGUUGGCGGGGUAACGGCCCACCAAGGCAUCGACGGGUAGCUGGUCUGAGAGGACGAGCAGCCACACUGGGACUGAGACACGGCCCAGACUCCUACGGGAGGCAGCAGUGGGGAAUAUUGCGCAAUGGGCGAAAGCCUGACGCAGCAACGCCGCGUGGGGGAUGACGGCCUUCGGGUUGUAAACCCCUUUCAGCAGGGACGAAAAUGACGGUACCUGCAGAAGAAGCCCCGGCCAACUACGUGCCAGCAGCCGCGGUAACACGUAGGGGGCAAGCGUUGUCCGGAUUUAUUGGGCAUAAAGAGCUCGUAGGCGGUUGCGUAAGUCGGAUGUGAAAACUCAGGGCUCAACCCGGAGACGCCAUUCGAUACUGCGCUGACUAGAGUCCGGUAGGGGAGCAUGGAAUUCUUGGUGUAGCGGUGAAAUGCGCAGAUAUCAGGAGGAACACCAGUGGCGAAGGCGGUGCUCUGGGCCGGUACUGACGCUGAGGAGCGAAAGCGUGGGUAGCGAACAGGAUUAGAUACCCUGGUAGUCCACGCCGUAAACGUUGGGCACUAGGUGUGGGGCCUUUCUAACGGGUUCCGUGCCGUAGCUAACGCAUUAAGUUUUAAGGGUGGGGAGUACGG